CCAUCGACGCCUCCAAACCCUUACAGCAGCAGCAAAUGCUACCCCAGGACCAGCAAACAAGGUCCCACACGUGCCGCCCAGGAGCCCUCAGGUGCCUUUCCCCUUGUGCCCGACACCCACUGGUGCCACAUCCAACCCCGCGCUCCCUGGCUGCAGCAGCCCAGCGCUGGAACCAGCGCCAGCGGGGGAACGCCAGCGCCGUUUUCCCGACGGCGGACUUUAAAAGGCAGCAGAGAGCUCCUUCCCUCCUCUCCCCGCGCACGCCGCCCGAUGCCAGGAAUAACUCCUCGGAGCGAGGUACAGUGUCAUCAGCCUACUAAGAAAUAGCUACGUCAAUAAGCAUCAACAGAACCCAUAGACUGUAUCACUUAAUGUCCUCACACGCUCAGCUAUCUUGAAGAGUCCAAACUUUUCAGUUUAGAGGGAAGAUAGCACCUUGCCUGUGAUUUAUAAAGAAAGCUUGGAUAACCAGAUACAGAUGCUAUCUCAUUGAGCUUCUGGGAUUCCUGAACAAAGUUCACACUUGAGAACAAACCUCUGUGUAAAGGUUUGUAUGUUUCUGUGUAAAGGAUGCUCAGGUUAUCUUUUAACAAACAAGUCUUUCUCUGAAUUCUGGUAACUAUUUAUAUAGAACUUUGUGUUUCUGCUGUUUUAUUUUACCUGACGUGAACUUAGUUCUCCAAAAGUCUGGAGGCACUUUAGCAGUCCAUGUCAAUUGUGCACUGUAGACACAUCAUGAGAAACAUGAGCUGCUCUACACGUUUCAGUCAGAUAGUUAAUUUUAAUGACAAAGGCAAUUCUACAUCAAUGGCACUGGUCAGUAAUUAAUUAACAGUCCAUUACUCUGAUGUUUGCCAUACAUUUUAGUUUCAGUUCAGCAGUUUUACUCUGUAUCCUCGAGCUCCUGCUUAUCACAACCUCCAGCUCUCCUGAAUCAGUUUCUGUGGUUCAACGUGUCUCAGUCGCUCAGAAAACGGACCAAAAUUUUUUUAAAAAUCACUUUUGAGAAUAAAGUAAUACUUUUAAUCAACUUUCCCAGGAAGAUUUCACUGACCUUUGGGUUGCUGUGUAGUCCUUCAAACAGCUAUUCUUCCCCUUCUCUGUAGCCAAAGAUGUAAGAGAAGAACUUCCCACAGGAAAAGGGUGGGAGAGAGCAGCCAGAUGUGAAAGACUUAAACAGCCCUUCUGCCCUCAGAAAAGAAGGAGUAUAAAUAUAUACUGACACAUUUUUAAGUUCAGCUCUGCCUAGCAUGGUGGGAAGGAAGUUCUCUGAAUCAUUCAGUCCCAGUUAUACCACUGGAAAAACCAUAAUGUCAGCACACUGCUCCAUCUCUGCAUAACAACAGCAUUCAUUAAUUACUGAAAUAUUCCCCGAGGAAAAUAAUGUUUACAACUGGGGCUUGUAACUGACUACAGAGAUGCCACAGAUUCUAUGACUAGGUGCAUUGCGUAUGUCCUUGCUCAUCAGUGUUCCGAUGUGUGUACUUUAAAACUAAGUAUACAUUAUGCAUAUAUGUACUCUGAAGUGGACUAAAAUGAUAUGUUUGCAGCUUUUUGAUGAGAUGAAGCUGAAGUUUUAAGUGGUAAGGAAGAAUGCAAAAUUUUGGAUAUUGCACAUAGUUUUUCUUCUUGAUUUAGAACAUUUGGUCUUCAAGUUUUUUCUUCGAAGAAAAAUAUCACCUAGAUAACUUCCUCAACUGCCACUGAACUUUGGAUUUGCUCUUUCGUUGCGGUGGCUAAGUACACUUUACACCCCUCAAGUUGCCUUAAAAAUGGUCCCUCCUUACAACAAUGUGCUAGAAAAGUUCUCCCUUUGUCUAGAUUCUGCUGGUCACUGGCCCUCUCCCCCUCCCAUCCCUUUUCCCAUUGGCCCCUGUUAUGUCACUCAGCCUUGCCUCUGCCCCCUAGCCCUCAGACUAUUGGUUUUGGAUGCUCUGCCCGCCUUUGGGAGUUUUCGGGAUAAAACGAGCGCGGGCUUUCGGUUGUUUUUCGUUCUUGCCGCUGUUCCCUUCGGAGUGUUGCCAUUAAACGCCUCGGAAUUGCAUGCAGAGAGCCCCUCUCACCUCCCUGUCUCUGGUUCAUGCUUAGACUGUGUGUGCGAGCAGCUGUUCUCGACCACCUGUGAAGGUGAGAUCGUGUGCACGCAUAGGCGCUGGCAGAGCGCCACCUAAGCGGUCCACGAGGGACCCAGUAGGGACAAAUGUGACAUCGAUCCACCGAAGCCCUUUCUUUACUCUUUUUGUUCACUUUCUCUUUUGAAAAAUACAAUAGAAGGCACCCAAAAAAUGGUUGUAUUGUUCCACUCCUGCAAUUACUGUUCAUCAGUAAGAGAUGACAUGAUAAUGAAAAACGUAUCCUGCAAAAUUCGUUGAACCCACCAGAGGAUUCUAGGGUAUUAAAUUUGGGGUAUUAUUCAUAUGAUGGAUUUGUAUCCACCACUUUUCUGUACACUGCUGUUCAUUUUCUUGAAUAAAAAGUAUGAGUCAUGCAAUAUUAUUAUUUUCUUCUUUUGAUACCUGAAAUGUGCUGAGCUUAACUGAGCAAAAAGUGAUAGAAGACUGUUUUUCUCAUGACGUCAAUACAUAUAUUUUAUCCCCUCUAGCCACCCACAUGUGGCCACUUACACAGGAGGAAUAAACAAUCUACCAUGUAGAAAGC
Long non-coding RNA from Corvus hawaiiensis (hawaiian crow), 2658 nucleotides. RefSeq lists it as uncharacterized. NCBI's taxonomy places the organism in Eukaryota, Metazoa, Chordata, Aves, Passeriformes, Corvidae. The transcript is spliced from 3 exons. The record is from RefSeq and is a predicted model, not a curated record.